Sander lucioperca (pikeperch) is the source of this 110-nucleotide long non-coding RNA. RefSeq lists it as uncharacterized. The transcript has 3 exons. Lineage: Eukaryota; Metazoa; Chordata; Actinopteri; Perciformes; Percidae. The record is from RefSeq and is a predicted model, not a curated record.
UUGUGUUCCACUUGGCUAUAAGUGUAAAAUAAACAUGGACUGAGAAAUCGGCAUCUGUUCACUACUAUGGUCAUGACAACAAAUUCUUACAGAAAAUAAGGAGUAGUGAG